GCCAGCAGAGAAGCCACCCCGCGUGGGACAGGAUGUGGCGGGUCUCGGAGGUUGGCGGGUCCAGGCGGGGCAAGAGCUGGGUGCUGGUCCCCACGGCCUGUCCUCCGGAUAGAGGAACAGGAGUUGGGCUCUGUAAGGACAGAUGAAGAACACAGUGGGGCAGGGGGAGUAUUUGUCUUCAAGAAGGAUUUAAGUGAAGAGGAGAAGCAAGCCAUUAAGAAUAAGCCGUUAAGAAUAAGAUUCCGGGUUCAAGUUCUGACCCC
Molecule: long non-coding RNA, 263 nt
Organism: Hyaena hyaena (striped hyena)
Lineage: Eukaryota; Metazoa; Chordata; Mammalia; Carnivora; Hyaenidae
Exons: 3
Source: RefSeq, a predicted model, not a curated record